Molecule: ribosomal RNA, 247 nt
Filed under: uncultured bacterium
Lineage: Bacteria
Description: partial 16S ribosomal RNA
Rfam family: Bacterial small subunit ribosomal RNA
Source: RNAcentral
AUACGGAGGGUGCAAGCGUUAAUCGGAAUCACUGGGCGUAAAGCGCACGUAGGCUGUUUGGUAAGUCAGGGGUGAAAUCCCGCAGCUCAACUGCGGAAUUGCCCUUGAUACUGCUGGACUUGAGUUCGGGAGAGGGUAGUGGAAUUCCAGGUGUAGGAGUGAAAUCCGUAGAGAUCUGGAGGAACACCAGUGGCGAAGGCGACUACCUGGACCGAUACUGACACUGAGGAGCGAAAGCGUGGGGAGC